AAGUACAUCAGGAUUAUGUUCAGAUUUCCUCAUGUCUUCCUGACCAUCAAUUGACUAUGGAGGUACACUGGAUGCUAUAUGUGGAGAUCAUUGCUAGCCACAACAAUGUUAAACAUACACUGAGAAUGGCUUAUCUGAUUGUGUUUUCUAUUCUGUGUAAGUGUACAGGUCACAAUUCUGCAUUGUACCUUUAUGUAAGCUUAGCCACACAAAAGAUGCUCUACAGAACACUCCUGGUGAAUUGCAGUGAUGCAUAUCAGAGCACCAGCAAGAGGGUCUGUUUGCACAUUUAAUUCUACUGAUACACAUCAGAAGCUCAAGUCAUUGUCCAGAUAGGCAUCAAGACUGCCUAAGAUGUGCCAGCUCCCAUGAGGAGUGCUCUAAUGUGCAAUGGUUGCUUUUCUGGCUUGCAUACACAGUAAAAUCACAACAACACCUUGCUGAAUGCAGACACUGCAAAACCGCUCAGUUCUAUUUCCUGUAGACAUAAGCCCACUUACACAGAUGCAAAUUUCAAACUAUAUUCAAGUCAUUUUUUAAAAAGUACUCACAUUGGCAGAACAUAAGGUAAUUUCCACUAAGUACUUUUUAAAGGUGACCUUCUAAGCUCAGCACAGGAGCCAAAAGUUACAACCCCCAUAUCAUUUUCUGUGACUCCCGGAAUCUGACCCAACAUCAAUCUUUUAAACAACCAUUUAGUUAACCACAAUUUUAUUAAUUAAACUGUUGUGUUUGCAGUGGUUGAUUAAUUGUUUAAUUUCUAACAUCUAUGUUUAUUCAGUCUGUGUUCAGUCUUAACCAUCCAAGCUCACAAUAGAACCAUUCACACUGUCUUGUUUUUUUGGGAAACUCUUGGUGAUAAUACAGUAUGAGUGGGCACAGGAUGACAACUGGAAUGAUAAUAAUGACGAGGAUACUUUAUCAUGAGCAUCCGCUAUGCAGGCUCUGUUGCAGAGUUACAGGAAAGUAUUAGAGGAAUUGUCUAGGUUUUUGAAAUUUGGUACCACAAAUAAAUGGGAUAACAACACCAACCUACCUUUCCCUCUUAAUCCAAAGAAGCUUUUAUAUGUUUUCAUUGAUUGGUGCUGGUAAUGGACUGGAUUAAGAAAAGCUGAAAGUAAAUCCAGACAAGGCAGAGGUACUUCUUCUCACUAAAAUAUCAGAUAAGAAUACCAGAGAGCGGCCUAUUGGGAUGGGGUCACUGUCUCAUUAAACUUAUGGUUCACACUUUGGAAAUGUUCCUAAUUGCUCAAUGUUUCAAUUUUGUUCAAGUUGAGCCUAGUAUAUCAAUUAGGCCCAUAUGUGAAGUGUGACAUCUAGGUCAUAGUGGCACAUGCUGCUCUCACAUCAGAUUACAGGGGAUAUGGUCCUCGCCAGACCGUGGUUAUGUGAAUCCAUGGAUAUGUCCAAACAGCAUUAAAUCGCCUCUUCCAAUUCCAGCAUAUCACAGAGUUGCAUUGGAAGAUGUUUCUAUUCUUGGUAAGGCUGACAUCCUGUGGCAGCGAGAAACAUUACAGUCUAUUAACCAAACAUCUGCAUGCCCUCUCAAAUGCGAGUGAGCAUGCUAAUGACUGCAUUAUCAUUUAAACAAAACACAAAACAGUCUGGAGCAGUGUAAGAUGCAAUUAUUUCCCCUAAUUAGAUCUGGUGCUGGUUUCAGUCCUGGAUGCUGAUGAGACAAGUAGAAGAGUAAUUGGGAAGAUUAAAAUGCAGCUACGACUGAAUAAUCUGCCUCUUUGGCUAACUAGAUCAUUUUGGAGCAUCCGGCAACAAGCAUUAUAGAGGGAAGAGGAGAAGUCGUAUGCUAAAUCAAGGUACCUGGGUUAUCACUUCAUGGCCUCCAAAGGAUCAUUAUGAAAGCUGGAAGUUUGUUAUAUUUCAUUGCUGGAGGGAUGUUUAUACCUGCUGUCUGCAAUGUCUGUUGUGAUUAUGACUGCUGUAUGAAGUACAAACUUAGGUCAGUGCCACUUGAA
Anolis carolinensis (green anole) is the source of this 1973-nucleotide long non-coding RNA. RefSeq lists it as uncharacterized. NCBI's taxonomy places the organism in Eukaryota, Metazoa, Chordata, Lepidosauria, Squamata, Anolidae. The record is from RefSeq and is a predicted model, not a curated record. The transcript is spliced from 3 exons.